Molecule: unclassified non-coding RNA, 281 nt
Filed under: Rhizophlyctis rosea
Lineage: Eukaryota; Fungi; Chytridiomycota; Chytridiomycetes; Rhizophlyctidales; Rhizophlyctidaceae
Also listed under: 1 other name
Description: partial internal transcribed spacer region
Rfam family: Eukaryotic small subunit ribosomal RNA (bases 1-46)
Source: RNAcentral
AAGUCGUAACAAGGUAACCGUAGGUGAACCUGCGGUUGGAUCAUUAAAAAAUGUUUGGUCUCGUGCCAAAUCAACAUUUGUGUGCACCAUUGUCUGUCCUUGGUAGUUCGAGUCGCGCUCGGCCGAUCUCAACAAUCGGUGAGCGCCUACCCCUUAGGGGGUUGGGCUACCGCCUUUUUGAACAAACCUUCAUGUUGUUUUCUUUUAUGCCUGAACGAAAAGUUAAUCUUUUUUGAUUAAUGAUUCUUAUACAACUUUUGACAACGGAUCUCUUGGCUCUC